RNAcentral lists this ribosomal RNA (1233 nucleotides) under metagenome. Its description in RNAcentral is "bacterial LSU rRNA". It matches the Rfam family "Bacterial large subunit ribosomal RNA", at positions 1564 to 2805 of the family's 2925-position model. The record is from RNAcentral.
UGAAUACGAGAUGCUACGGCGUCGAAGCAGUGUAUGUCAGACUUCCAAGAAAAGCUCGCAAUGUCAUAAAUAAAGAAUGCCUGUACCAUAACCGACACAGGUGGGUAGGUAGAGUAUACUAAGGGGCGCGAGAUAACUCUCUCUAAGGAACUCGGCAAAAUAACUCCGUAACUUCGGGAGAAGGAGUGCCUUCUUUAAGAAGGUUGCAAUAACAAGAUCCAAGCAACUGUUUAUCAAAAACACAGGUCUCCGCUAAGUCGUAAGACGAUGUAUGGGGGCUGACGCCUGCCCAGUGCCAGAAGGUUAAAGAAGCUGGUUAGCAAUAGCGAAGCUGGUGACUGAAGCCCUGGUGAACGGCGGCCGUAACAAUAACGGUCCUAAGGUAGCGAAAUUCCUUGUCGGGUAAGUUCCGACCCGCACGAAAGGCGUAAUGAUUUGGAUACUGUCUCGGAGAGGGACUCGGUGAAAUAGACUUGUCUGUGAAGAUGCGGACUACCUGCACCAGGACAGAAAGACCCUAUGAAGCUUUACUGUAACCUGAAAUUGAAAUUGGACUUUAUUUGCGCAGUAUAGGUGGGAGGCGUUGAAAGUAAUCUUGCGGGAUUAGUGGAGCCAUCAGUGAGAUACCACUCCUAUAAUAUUAGAUUUCUAACUUUGGAUCAUGAUCUGGUCAAAGAACAGUUUCAGGCGGGCAGUUUGACUGGGGCGGUCGCCUCCCAAAUGGUAACGGAGGCGUACAAAGGUUUCCUCUGAACGGGUAGAAAUCGUAUCUAGAGUGUAAAGGCAUAAGGAAGCUUGACUGUGAGACCUACAAGUCGAGCAGGGACGAAAGUCGGUCUUAGUGAUCUGACGGUGCUGAGUGGAAAGGCCGUCACUCAACGGAUAAAAGUUACUCUAGGGAUAACAGGCUGAUCUCCCCCAAGAGUUCACAUCGACGGGGAGGUUUGGCACCUCGAUGUCGGCUCAUCGCAUCCUGGGGCGGUAGUACGUCCCAAGGGUUGGGCUGUUCGCCCAUGAAAGCGGUACGCGAGCUGGGUUCAGAACGUCGUGAGACAGUUCGGUCCAUAUCCAGUGUAGGCGUUAGAAUAUUGAGAGGAGCCUUCUCUAGUACGAGAGGACCGAGAAGGACAUACCUCUGGUGUACCAGUUAUCGUGCCAACGGUAAACGCUGGGUAGCUAUGUAUGGAGAGGAUAACCGCUGAAAGCAUCUAAGUGGGAAGCCCACCUCAAGAU